RNAcentral lists this ribosomal RNA (301 nucleotides) under uncultured bacterium. Its description in RNAcentral is "partial 16S ribosomal RNA". It matches the Rfam family "Bacterial small subunit ribosomal RNA", at positions 509 to 809 of the family's 1533-position model. The record is from RNAcentral.
CAGUCGCCACGGUAAUGCGUAGGGUGCAAGCAUUAAUCGGAAUUACUGGGCGUAAAGCGUGCGCAGGCGGUCCGCUAAGACAGAUGUGAAAUCCCCGGGCUUAACCUGGGAACUGCAUUUGUGACUGGGGGGCUAGAGUAUGGCAGAGGGGGGUAGAAUUCCACGUGUAGCAGUGAAAUGCGUAGAGAUGUGGAGGAAUACCGAUGGCGAAGGCAGCCCCCUGGGCCAAUACUGACGCUCAUGCACGAAAGCGUGGGGAGCAAACAGGAUUAGAUACCCGCGUAGUCCCUGUCUCUUAUAU